This 644-nucleotide ribosomal RNA is filed under the name Rhodococcus qingshengii. RNAcentral's name for it is "bacterial SSU rRNA". It matches the Rfam family "Bacterial small subunit ribosomal RNA", at positions 1 to 636 of the family's 1533-position model. Lineage: Bacteria; Bacillati; Actinomycetota; Actinomycetes; Mycobacteriales; Nocardiaceae. The record is from RNAcentral.
AAUUGAAGAGUUUGAUCAUGGCUCAGAUUGAACGCUGGCGGCAGGCCUAACACAUGCAAGUCGAACGGUAACAGGAAGAAGCUUGCUUCUUUGCUGACGAGUGGCGGACGGGUGAGUAAUGUCUGGGAAACUGCCUGAUGGAGGGGGAUAACUACUGGAAACGGUAGCUAAUACCGCAUAACGUCGCAAGACCAAAGAGGGGGACCUUCGGGCCUCUUGCCAUCGGAUGUGCCCAGAUGGGAUUAGCUAGUAGGUGGGGUAACGGCUCACCUAGGCGACGAUCCCUAGCUGGUCUGAGAGGAUGACCAGCCACACUGGAACUGAGACACGGUCCAGACUCCUACGGGAGGCAGCAGUGGGGAAUAUUGCACAAUGGGCGCAAGCCUGAUGCAGCCAUGCCGCGUGUAUGAAGAAGGCCUCGGGUUGUAAAGUACUUUCAGCGGGGAGGAAGGGAGUAAAGUUAAUACCUUUGCUCAUUGACGUUACCCGCAGAAGAAGCACCGGCUAACUCCGUGCCAGCAGCCGCGGUAAUACGGAGGGUGCAAGCGUUAAUCGGAAUUACUGGGCGUAAAGCGCACGCAGGCGGUUUGUUAAGUCAGAUGUGAAAUCCCCGGGCUCAACCUGGGAACUGCAUCUGAUACUGG